UGAGUCUCAAACUACCCUGCUUGACUCACUCUUGAGCAGCAAGGAGGAGGCUGUGGAGAUAGAGAAGGCUACCAGGCUGCAGGCUGCAGAUAAGAAGUGGAAGAGAUUGAGGACCCACAGAGUAACUGCAUCCAAAGUUGGAGAAAUAUCAAAGCGAAAAAAAGAUCCUGAAAACUAUGCCCAAAAGUUGAGGACCUCGACGAAAGUGUCAUGACUGAGGCCAUGAGGGAAGGCCUUGCUAAUGAGCCAGUUGCUGUUGCAGCAUACAGCAGAGUGAAGGAUGAUAAGAUAAAUAUUUAUCCGUCUGGUAUUGUCAUCAACCCCAAGUGUUCCUGGAUGGCUGCCUCACCAGACAGGAAGGUGCUUGACCCAAGCACCAUUCCACCAUUUGGCCUCCUGGAAAUCAAG
Haliotis rufescens (red abalone) is the source of this 408-nucleotide long non-coding RNA. RefSeq lists it as uncharacterized. The transcript is spliced from 3 exons. The record is from RefSeq and is a predicted model, not a curated record. Lineage: Eukaryota; Metazoa; Mollusca; Gastropoda; Lepetellida; Haliotidae.